RNAcentral lists this ribosomal RNA (433 nucleotides) under uncultured bacterium. RNAcentral describes it as "partial 16S ribosomal RNA". It matches the Rfam family "Bacterial small subunit ribosomal RNA", at positions 30 to 507 of the family's 1533-position model. The record is from RNAcentral.
AGCGAACGCUGGCGGCAGGCUUAACACAUGCAAGUCGAGCGGGCACUUCGGUGUCAGCGGCAGACGGGUGAGUAACACGUGGGAACGUACCCUUCGGUUCGGAAUAACGCUGGGAAACUAGCGCUAAUACCGGAUACGCCCUUUUGGGGAAAGGUUUACUGCCGAAGGAUCGGCCCGCGUCUGAUUAGCUAGUUGGUGGGGUAAUGGCCUACCAAGGCGACGAUCAGUAGCUGGUCUGAGAGGAUGAUCAGCCACACUGGGAAUGAGACACGGCCCAGACUCGGAGGGAGGGAGGGGGAGGGGAGUAUAGGAGGAGGGGGGCAGGCCUAGCACCGCCUUGCGGGGGGAGUGGGGAGGCCUUUGGGUUUAAAAAGUCUUUUGGGCCGGACCGUUAGGGACGGUACGGGAAAAAGAAGCCCCGGCUAACUUCGUG